Molecule: long non-coding RNA, 835 nt
Organism: Notolabrus celidotus (New Zealand spotty)
Lineage: Eukaryota; Metazoa; Chordata; Actinopteri; Labriformes; Labridae
Exons: 2
Source: RefSeq, a predicted model, not a curated record
UUUUUUGGCCCACACUCCAGAAAGCUUUACUGGUUAUCUUGAACCAGUUAAUAUGUCAGUGGUGGUACUGGUAUGAUACUGGUAUGAUACUUUGAUCUAAAUAUCUUCAUCUCAUUCUUACUUUUCUUUAUAGCUUUAUUUCUGUUUCCCUCUCAGUCUUCUGACGGUUCUCUUUCAGACAGCAUCUUACUUUGGUUGAGAACUCUUUAUCUGUAGAGUCUAGUUGUUUGGUUUUUGAGUUACAGACAGGAAAGAAUAGCUCUAAUGUCUAUCAUGUAUGGGGCCUGCAUAUUUAUUUCAAGUUUAAGGAGUGAGGAUCUGUACUCCACUUUCUUUUUAAACUCCAUUCCAUCUUUUUCUGGUAUAACUCUGUUUUCCUCUUUUCCCCAUCUCCAAUUUCUAUCUGUCCCCUCCUCCUGUCUUGUCAAUGGUCUGGAUGCUUCACCCUUCACCUCCUUGCCAUGUGCUCCGUCACCUUUGCUCUCUUUCAAUGCAACCUACCAUCCCCCCCACCAACAAAUCCCCGGCCCACCAAUAGAUGAGUUGUAUGCUCAGAAACUGAAGUACAAGGCCAUCAGCGAGGAGCUGGACCACGCCCUCAACGACAUGACUUCCAUAUAAAUUUUUUACACCUCAUCAAAGACGUCUCCUGCCGGCUGAGCGGCAUCUGUCUGCUCUCUCCAGCCUGCUAUUCAUUUUCCCUUCCUUUCUCUAUGUCACCGCUUCCCUCACUCCUCAUGUUUUCAUCCUCAUGACGUUAAAUGCAUCCCAUCUCUUGUACAGAAUCCUAGAAUCUUUCUGCAUUGUGUAAAGAAUAAACACCCUUCCUUCUAUG